AAAACGACUCUCGGCAACGGAUAUCUCGGCUCUCGCAUCGAUGAAGAACGUUGCGAAAUGUGAUACUUGGUGUGAAUUGGAGAAUCCCGUGAACCAUCGAGUCUUUGAACGCAAGUUGCGCCCUAAGCCAUUUGGCCGAGGGCACGUCUGCCUGGGCGUCAAUC
RNAcentral lists this ribosomal RNA (164 nucleotides) under Clarkia mildrediae. RNAcentral's name for it is "5.8S ribosomal RNA". It matches the Rfam family "5.8S ribosomal RNA". From Rfam's summary of the family: 5.8S ribosomal RNA (5.8S rRNA) is a component of the large subunit of the eukaryotic ribosome. It is transcribed by RNA polymerase I as part of the 45S precursor that also contains 18S and 28S rRNA. Lineage: Eukaryota; Viridiplantae; Streptophyta; Magnoliopsida; Myrtales; Onagraceae. The record is from RNAcentral.